AAUGAACGCUGGCGGCAGGCCUAACACAUGCAAGUCGAACGGCUCCUUCGGGAUUAGUGGCGGACGGGUGAGUAACGCGUGGGAACAUACCCAAAGGUACGGAAUAGCCUCGGGAAACUGGGAGCAAUACCGUAUGUGCUCGAAAGAGGAAAGAUUUUUCGCCUUUGGAUUGGCCCGCGUUGGAUUAGGUAGUUGGUGGGGUAAAGACCUGCCAAGCCGACGAUCCAUAGAUGGUUGGAGAGGAUGAUCAGCCACCCUGGGACUGAGACACGGUCCAGACUCCUUAGGGAGGCAGUAGUGGGGAAUCUGAGACAAUGGGGGAACGCUUGAUCUAGCCAUGCCGCGGGAUCGGUGAAGGCCUUAGGGUUGUAAAGAUCUUUCAGGUGGGAAGAUAAUGACUGUACCACCAGAAGAAGCCCCGGCUAACUCCGUGCCAGCCGCCGCGGUAA
Molecule: ribosomal RNA, 449 nt
Filed under: uncultured bacterium
Lineage: Bacteria
Description: partial 16S ribosomal RNA
Rfam family: Bacterial small subunit ribosomal RNA
Source: RNAcentral